UACGUAGGGUGCAAGCGUUAAUCGGAAUUACUGGGCGUAAAGGGCUCGUAGGCGGCCAACUAAGUCAGACGUGAAAUCCCCAGGCUUAACCUGGGAACUGCGUCUGAUACUGGAUGGCUUGAAUUCGGGAGAGGGAUGCAGAAUUCCAGGUGUAGCGGUGAAAUGCGUAGAUAUCUGGAGGAAUACCGGUGGCGAAGGCGGCAUCCUGGACCGAGAUUGACGCUGAUGAGCGAAAGCUAGGGGAGCAAACGGG
This 253-nucleotide ribosomal RNA is filed under the name uncultured bacterium. RNAcentral describes it as "partial 16S ribosomal RNA". It matches the Rfam family "Bacterial small subunit ribosomal RNA", at positions 524 to 776 of the family's 1533-position model. The record is from RNAcentral.